This 21-nucleotide non-coding RNA is filed under the name Arabidopsis thaliana (thale cress). Lineage: Eukaryota; Viridiplantae; Streptophyta; Magnoliopsida; Brassicales; Brassicaceae. The record is from RNAcentral.
UGAAAGGUGCUUGUGACUCUA